UGUGUCAGCUUCAACAAAACG
This 21-nucleotide unclassified non-coding RNA is filed under the name Mus musculus (house mouse). RNAcentral describes it as "oocyte_clustered_small_RNA390". The record is from RNAcentral. Lineage: Eukaryota; Metazoa; Chordata; Mammalia; Rodentia; Muridae.